RNAcentral lists this ribosomal RNA (252 nucleotides) under uncultured bacterium. RNAcentral's name for it is "partial 16S ribosomal RNA". It matches the Rfam family "Bacterial small subunit ribosomal RNA", at positions 524 to 776 of the family's 1533-position model. The record is from RNAcentral.
UACGUAGGUGACCAGCGUUGUCCGGAUUUACUGGGCGUAAGAGCGCGCAGGCGGUCGUUCAAGUCGAGUGUGAAAGCCCCCGGCUCAACUGGGGAGGGUCACUCGAUACUGAUCGACUUGAAGGCAGGAGAGGGAAGCGGAAUUCCCGGUGUAGUGGUGAAAUGCGUAGAUAUCGGGAGGAACACCAGUGGCGAAGGCGGCUUCCUGGCCUGUUCUUGACGCUGAGGCGCGAAUGCUAGGGGAGCAAACGGG